ACCCACUGAGGGAGAUGAGGAAACAGAGUUACGGCACCCUAGAGAAUGAGGGGCACCCAAUGCCAAAGCGCCAACAUACUGAGAAGAUGGGGAGGUAAACACAGAACAGACCCCGUCUGCUCUCUUUUAGCCCGUGGACUUCACGUGCUUGAUGAACCAGAACUCUGGGAGGCCAUUGCCUUGGCACAUGGAAUCCAAGGCUUAGCAAAAUUAAGGUGGCUAUCACUGGACAGCAUUUGUACUCCAAUAGCAUGCUGCUAGCCCCUGGCAGCCACCAUUCUACUGUCUGUUUCUAUGAAUUUGACUACUCUAGGUACCUCAUCCUGAGAUCUGAGCUCUACCGCUUUUCUCCUUAUGAACUCCAAGAGCACAGUACCAAAGGCAGCCCCUAGACAUUAGAAUUGCAAAAAAGGUCCAUCUUCCUCUUUCCAGUUAGAAGGACAGAAUUGAUAGCCAGGCCACUGCAUCCCCCAGCCUGUGCUUCAGUGUACAUCAGCGGAAGGAGCUGUGGGGUAAAGAUCCAAGCCAGGACACCACAUUACAUUGUUCUCAGGGCUCCUUUGGUUCCUGUUGACUAUGACCAUUUCUUAGAAUUACUUUGUUUUGAUGACCUUGACAAUAUUGAGGAGUACUGCUCAGGAAUAAUUUCGAUGUGACCCAGUGCAUCUUCUUUAGGAUCAUCACCAGGAAGCUGUGAGUGAUGUCACUGCCCUGAAUUGGUGAAGCACUGGGGUGUUUUUAUGCAGUUUAUGGUGGUGCUGCCUUCAUCCAGGCCUGUAAUUGGAAUCCUCAUGCUGUAGCUGCUCUGAGAAAAGAAAAAUCUAGAGAUAAAUGGAGUAGCAGAUCGGUGCCAAAUAUACUUUGAGGAUAACGGGAAGGUGAACACAGUGUGUCUUUCCAUCUGUGUUGUCUUCAAUUUCUUUCAUCAGUGUCAUAGUUUUCUGAAUACAGAUUUUUUACCUCCUCAGGCCCCUUAGCAUAUGGAAAUUCCAGGCCGAGGGAGAGAAUCUGAGCCAGAGUGCAACCUACACUGCAGCUACAGCAAUGUUGGAUCCUUAACCCACUGUGCCAGGCCAAGGAUCAAACUGGUGCCUCCACAGAGACAAGCCAGAUCAUUAACCCACUGUGUCACAGCAGGAACUCUAGGACUUUCUUCAAGGGUGAAUAAUGUUUCAUUGUAUGUAUAUGUGUGGCAGAGUGUGUGUAUGUGUUUGUGUGUGUUUGUGACAUCUUUGUUACCAUUCAUCCAUCAAAAGAUACUUAAUUUGUUUCCAUGCCUUAGCUAUUGUGAAUAAUUGCUGCAAUGAACAUAAGAGUACAGAUAUCUCUUCAAGAAUUAUUUUGUUUCCUGGAGUCCCUCUCGUGGCUCAGUGGUUAAUGAACUCGACUAGCAUCCAUGAGGACGCAGGUUUGACCCCUGGCUUCACCCAGUGGGUUAAGGAUCCAGCGUUGCUGUGAGCUGUGGUGUAGGUCGCAGACAUGGCUCAGAUCUGGUGUUGCUAUGGCUGUGGCAUAGGCCGGCAGCUGUAGCUCUGAUUGGACCCCUAGCCUGGGGACCUCCAUAUGCCACAGUUGCAGCAGUGAAAAGACAAAAAAAAGAAUUAUUUUGUUUCCUAAAAAUAGAGCUACUAUAUGAUCCAGCAAUCCUACUCCUGGGCAUAUAUCCAGAGAAAACUCUAAUUUGAAAAGAUACACGCACCUCAAUGUUCAUAGAAGCACUACGUACAAUAGCCAAGACAUGCAAGCAACCUAAAUGUCCAUUGACAGAUGAAUGGAUAAAGAAGAUGUGGUACAUAUAUACAAUGGAAUACUACUCAGCCAUAAAAGAGAAAUAAUGCCAUUUGUAGCAACAGGGAUGGACCUAAAGAUUAUCAUACUAAGUGAAGUAAGUCAUACAGAGAAAGUUAAACAUAUGGUAUCACUUAUAUGUAGAAUCUUUAAAAAAAUGAUAAAAAAGUGAUACAAAGGAACCUAUUUCCAAAAUAGAAAUAGACUUGCAGACAUAGAAAACCAACUUACAGUUUCCAAAAGGGAAAGGGGGGAGGGAUAAAUUAUUAGGAGUUUUGGAUUAACAGAUACACACUACUAUAUAUAAAAUAGGUAAACAAGGACCUACUCUCUAGCAUNUCAAUUCAAUAUUCUGAAUCACUUUGCUAUACACCAGAAGUAACACAACACUGUAAAUCAACUAUACUUCAAUAAAAAAGAAUUAUUUUGUUUCCUUUGGACAUAUACUCAGAAGUGAGAUUGUUGAAUCAUAUGGUAGUUCCAUUUUUAAUUUCUUGAGAAAUAUCCAUUCUGUUUUCCAUAGUGGCUGUGAUAGUUUACAUUCCUACGAGUAGUAUACAAGGGUUCUCUUUCCUCCACGUCCUCAAUAGCCUUUGUUAUCUCUUGCCAUUUGAUGAUAAACAUUCUAACAGGUGUGAGAUGAUAUGUAGUUGUGGCUUUGAUUUACUUUUCUCUCUUGGUUAGUGAUGUUGAGCACCUUUUCAUGAUGUACCCAUUAGCCAUCUGGGUUUCUUUUUUUGGAAAAAUGUCUAUUUAGUUCUUAUGCACAUUUAAAAAAUUAGAUUUUUUUCUUUUAUUUAUGUUUGUUCCUUUUAUUAUUAGGUUGUAUGUGUUGCAUAAAUUCUUUAUAUAUUUUUGAUAUUACUCCCUUAUUUGAUAAUGUGGUUUACAAAUAUUUUUUCCCAUUCCAUAAGUUGCCCUUUUAUUUUGUUGAUUGUUUCUUUUACAGUGCAAGAGCCUUUUAGUUUAAUGUAGUCCCACUUGUUGAUUUUUUGCUUUUGUUGCUUGUGUGUUUGGUGCCACAUCAAAAAAAAA
This 2823-nucleotide long non-coding RNA is filed under the name Sus scrofa (pig). Its description in RNAcentral is "lncRNA (ENSSSCG00040009114.1)". The record is from RNAcentral. Lineage: Eukaryota; Metazoa; Chordata; Mammalia; Artiodactyla; Suidae.